CUCAUUUUCUCUUGCUGCUACCAUGGAAGAAGCGACUUUCGCCUCCCGCCGUGAUUCUGAGGCCUUUCCAGCCAUGUCAAACUCAAAAUGUGACUGAAAAACAGAAGCAUUUGGAAUACGUAACAGAAGUCAUUAAAAAGAGGUAUGAUGAAUAUGAUGAACUUAGAAUGAUACUGAUCUUCACAAUGAAGCAUAAAGUUAAAAGCAGAAAUGACAGGAUCUUAUUCCUUUUGAUGUGCUGCUGGAUUCAGUUUGAAGGUAUUCUACUGACAGAGACAUAGACGAAUGGGACAGGAUAGAGAAGCCAGAAAUAAUGUUGCAACCUUACAGCCAUCUGAUCUUCAACAAAGUCAACAAAAAGAGACGAUGAAGAAAGGGCUGCUCCCUAUUCAAUAAAUGACACUGGGAAAACUGGCUAGUCAUACUCAGAAGAAUAAAAUUGGACCCCUUCCUUUCAUCAUAGACCAAAAUUAACUCAAGAUGGAUUAAAUAUAUUUAAAUGUAAGAACUCAAAACUAUAAGAAUCCUUGAAGAAAACCUAGGAAACAAUAUUCUGGACACCAGCCUUGGGAAAUAAUUUAUGACUAAAUUCUCAAAAAUUAGUUGCAACAAAAAAAUUGACAAGUGGAAAUAACUAAACUAACAAAUCUUCUGCACAGCAAAAGUAACUAUCAACAGAUUAAACAGACAACCUGCAGAAUGGGAGAAAAUAUUCACAAACUAAGCGUUUGAAAAACGUCUGAUAUUCAGAAUCUAUAACAAACUUAAACAAAUCAGCAAGCAAAGAACAACCCCACUAAAAAAUGGGCAAAAGACAUGAAAAGACAAUUCUCAAAAGAAGAAAUAGAAGUGGCCAGUGGACAUUGAAAAAUGCUCAACAUUACUAAUCAUCAGAGAAAUGCAAAUCAAAACCACAAUGAGAUACCAUCUCAGACCAUCAGAAUGGCUAUUAUUAAAAAGUCAAAAUACAGCCGAUGCUGGGGAGGCUGUAGAGAUAAGGGAAUGCUUAUACAUUGUUGGUGAGAAUGUAAAUUAGUUCAGCCACUGUGGAAAGCAGUUUGGCAAUUUCUCAAAGAACUUAAAACAGAACUACCAUUUGGUCCAGCAAUCUAAUUACUGAAUAUACAUCCAAAAGAAAUUAAAUUAUUCAAUCAAAAAGAUACAUGAACAGGUAUGUUGAUAGGAUCACUGUUCACAAUAGCAAAUAUAUGGAAUCAACAACCUAGGUGCCCAUCAAUGCUAGAUUGGAAAAAGAAAAUGUAGUACAUAUACAUUAUGGAAUAUUAUGUAGCUACAAAAAGAACAACAUCAUGUCUUUUGCAGCAACAUGAAUGCACCUGGAUGUAAUUAUCCUAAGUGAACUAACACAGGAACAGAAAACCAAAUACCAUAAGUUUUCACUUUAAAGUGGGAGCACAACAUUGGGUACUCAUGGACAUAAAGAGGGCAACAAUAGACACUGUGGACUAAUAGCGAGGGAAGGAAUGGAGGGGGACAAAGAUUGUAAGACUCUUGAUUACUAUGCUCAGUAUCUGGGAGAUGGCAACAAUUGUACCCCAUACUUCAACAUCCUGCAAUAUACCCAGUUAACAAACCUACACUUGCAUUCCCUGAAUCUAAAGUAAAAGUUGAAAUUAUAAAAUACAAUAAAAAUGAAAGACAAAAAGAGUUAAAAGUGUCACAUGUGAUAGAAAUCCUUGUUCCCUAGAAAUAUUUAGGCCUUUAGGCCUAAAGGUAAAUAACCUUUAGGCCAUAACUCUGUAUACAACAGCUGCUUGAUAUAGUCAUUUUUAUCAUUAACUACACAAACGAUCUUGCCUCAAUAUCUAUAUGUACUUUAAUUCUUACUCAUUUUGUGUCACCAUUCCCAUGCAGUAGAAUACAGCAUGCAAUUUGAGAAACUGCCCGAAAAAUUGUACAGUAUAAGAAUUUUUUAUACAAAUGGUUAUAAUAAAAAGUUGGAAGUGCAUCAUAAGUGUAGUACAAAAUUAUAAAGUACUGGUUUUGAUAAAAGAACUUAAUGAGCUCUCCCUUUACUCAGGAGUAUGCUUUAUGCAACUUGAUUUUAUUUGAUUUCUGUCUGGUAAUAUGGAGAGAAUUUGAGUAUGAGUUGGAACAGGAGUGGGUAUAUUUGAGAAGCUGGAUGUAUAAAGUAGAAAAAAAUACAUGGACAAAUUCUCAAGGAAUAUGUUUUGUGUGUGCAAUAACUAGUUGAUAGUUAAUUUGGGAAGAUACAAAAAUAUGUCCAAAUUGUGAGAAGAUUUAAACGUAAGGUUUAGUAAAGGAAUUCUAAAUAAACAAUAUUAAAGUGGAGAUGAAUACAUUUUGUAAUCUAUGUAAUCUCAUGCAUCAUUUAAUUAAAAAAAGAUAGCAUUU
This 2376-nucleotide long non-coding RNA is filed under the name Homo sapiens (human). RNAcentral's name for it is "non-protein coding LINC02476:24". Lineage: Eukaryota; Metazoa; Chordata; Mammalia; Primates; Hominidae. The record is from RNAcentral.